CGGGCUGCAGAGAAGGUGGACCCGCGCACCCGAGAGUGCGGAGAAAACCGAGCCGGACUCGCCUAGCCGCUAAGUACUCGGCCUGCGCGUUCCCUCGGCCACACCCCCGGCCUCUCACUGGCUGAGCCCAGAGCCCCACGAAAACCGCGCUUUCCCGGCUAAAGACCCGCUCGCGAGCGCGCAGCUGGCACACUCAGCCUCCUGCGUCUGCACCGGGGAGGGGGAGCUACGGCCCGCCGAACGCUCUCGCCUUGCGCCGCCGGCCCCCAGCGCAUCCCUUGUUACCUGAGCAACUGCACCCGGCUACCGGCGGGAUUUGCCCGCGCUGCGUGGGGUAGGGGUAGAGGCUGAGCGGCGGUGACGCCAGGUGAACGCAGAAUCCAGCUGAGGGGCUCUACUGUGCGCCCGGGAAAAAGAUUUCCCCGAGGGCAUCUCCUCAACUUGACCAGAUGGUCUCGACACGUGCGAGCACCUUCUAUGCCGUCUCUAAUCCAGGCCGGCCUGAGGAGUCAGUAUCCCUCCUUUCGCCGGGCCGGGGAGCAGAGCCUCCGAAGGUUCCUGGGCGCUGCUCUGUCUCCAGGGGCCAGUUCAGCCAGUCAGCCAGUCAGCCAGCAGGUAUUCGCGCUCCUAACAGAAGACUGCCCGAGGAACCUCCAGCAGCGCGUCCACGGCCCUGAAAUACUUCCUGCGUAUUUCUCCCCCAAACCAAGUAAGCUGCAGCAGUUUAAGAACUGCGUAUUCUCUGGGGGUUGCAUUUCUAGCUUUACUGAAUUGCUCACAGCCUGUUACGUUUUAGAUCAUUAACUUCUGACCCUCUGCCCCUGGAGGUCCAAUCUUUCUUGGUUAUAACGUGCUUCCCGUUUCUUCUCCUUCAAAAUGGAAGUUUUCUUUGUGGAAGCUUCCUUCAGAAGCUUAGAGACGUAGAACUGAGGUUGGGGAGGCUAGGAGCGUCCUGGAGAGAAAGACUGGAUUAGACGGCAGCUUCCUGUCCUGGUAGAGACGACGGUGCUUCUCUGGCCUGAGGGAAUCUUCCUAACCGGGUCAGAUCCUUUGGGACAAGAGGCACCAAUAGCAUCUAGUCAGCCAUACAGGCAUCUCCCAGUGGCGGAAAGCCUGCAUACCCUCUGGCUGAGGAAUUUUGCAGAGUGCUCCAAGAGAGGAGUUACUAGGUGCUGUAUUGAG
RNAcentral lists this long non-coding RNA (1182 nucleotides) under Cervus hanglu yarkandensis (Yarkand deer). RNAcentral's name for it is "lncRNA (ENSCHYG00000023847.1)". Lineage: Eukaryota; Metazoa; Chordata; Mammalia; Artiodactyla; Cervidae. The record is from RNAcentral.